CAAUAGCGUAUAUUAAAGUUGUUGCAGUUAAAAAGCUCGUAGUUGGAUUUCGGGAUGGUCGUGUUGGUCCGCCAUUUGGUGUGUAUCGGCCCGUCCAUUCUUUCCUUCCGGGGACCACGUCUGUACUUUACUGUGCGGGCGUGGGAAUCGGGACGUUUACUGUGAAAAAAUUAGAGUGUUCAUAGCAGGCCAAUGCCUUGAAUACAUUAGCAUGGAAUAAUAGAAUAGGACUUUGGUUCUAUUUUGUUGGUUUCUAGGACCGGAGUAAUGAUUAAUAGGGAUAGUUGGGGGCAUUAAUAUUUAAUUGUCAGAGGUGAAAUUCUUGGAUUUAUGAAAGAUUAACUUCUGCGAAAGCAUUUGCCAAGGAUGUUUNCAUUA
RNAcentral lists this ribosomal RNA (378 nucleotides) under uncultured eukaryote. RNAcentral's name for it is "partial 18S ribosomal RNA". It matches the Rfam family "Eukaryotic small subunit ribosomal RNA", at positions 592 to 975 of the family's 1831-position model. The record is from RNAcentral.